Molecule: ribosomal RNA, 495 nt
Filed under: uncultured bacterium
Lineage: Bacteria
Description: partial 16S ribosomal RNA
Rfam family: Bacterial small subunit ribosomal RNA
Source: RNAcentral
GACGAACGCUGGCGGCGUGCCUAAUACAUGCAAGUAGAACGCUGAAGGAGGAGCUUGCUCUUCUGGAUGAGUUGCGAACGGGUGAGUAACGCGUAGGUAACCUGCCUGGUAGUGGGGGAUAACUAUUGGAAACGAUAGCUAAUACCGCAUAAUAACAGUUGUUGCAUGACAACUGUUUGAAAGGUGCAAUUGCAUCACUACCAGAUGGACCUGCGUUGUAUUAGCUAGUUGGUGGGGUAACGGCUCACCAAGGCGACGAUACAUAGCCGACCUGAGAGGGUGAUCGGCCACACUGGGACUGAGACACGGCCCAGACUCCUACGGGAGGCAGCAGUAGGGAAUCUUCGGCAAUGGACGAAAGUCUGACCGAGCAACGCCGCGUGAGUGAAGAAGGGUUUCGGAUCGUAAAGCUCUGUUGUAAGAGAAGAACGAGUGUGAGAGUGGAAAGUUCACACUGUGACGGUAGCUUACCAGAAAGGGACGGCUAACUACGUG